CUGGGUGGUAACUGUGGGCAGGUGGUGUGUGGCUAGAGGAGGUAGGUCACUGGGGAUGGUCCUAGAAUUGUGCAUCUUUCCUGAGGCUCCUUCCUCUCUUUGCUUCUAGGCUGCCAUGAAUGGAGCAGGGCUCCUCCCUCAUACCCUUCUACCAUGAUGCUCUGCCUCACCUCAGACCUAGAGCAAUGAAGCCGGUUGACAACCGAAAGAACCUCUGAAACCCUGAGCCAAAAUAAACUUUCCAUCCUGUAAAUUGUACUUGCCAGGUAUUUUGGUCACAGUGAUGAAAACCUAAGUCAUGUAGUAUGCAAUACAAUAUACCAAACACUGGAAUUUGAAGGCCACAUUAUUUCAGGGCCAGGGAAUGGAUGACUUGGAUUGCCCCUGCUGAGAGCUGUUAGGUGUGUGACAUCCUGAGCCAGUGUUAAGGAGCUUGUGUGCUUGCUAAAUUUCUUCCCCAAUAUAUUCUGUGCUGAAUUACUUUGCCCAAUGCUAUGGCAAGGUUCAGUGUAGGACACU
This 519-nucleotide long non-coding RNA is filed under the name Marmota monax (woodchuck). The record is from RNAcentral. Lineage: Eukaryota; Metazoa; Chordata; Mammalia; Rodentia; Sciuridae.